Long non-coding RNA from Lolium perenne, 1640 nucleotides. RefSeq lists it as uncharacterized. Lineage: Eukaryota; Viridiplantae; Streptophyta; Magnoliopsida; Poales; Poaceae. The record is from RefSeq and is a predicted model, not a curated record.
CUCUGAGAAUACUUGAAACUUCUCUUUCUUAAUAGAUGGCCCCAUUUUCCUGGUCUCACAGUAAGCCACGUAUAGCGUCUUGCUUCUCCUAUCUUCGUCCCCAAUCCUUCGUACGUGGGCUGGACCAACGCCCACAAAUUGAUUGCGUUUGAUUUCUUUACGUUCUGCACAUUAAUACAAAUUAAUGGAUUUCCUUUUCAAGAGUAACCGAUGGAUUACUCUCCCUUUUAAAGCAAUGGUGCUGCUCCACUUCCGUUUGUCUCAGGAAGAUUAAUUGCCACAAUUGGAUCUCCACGCAGCUGCUCUUGAGAAUUCUUGACUCUGAGAAUACUUGAAAUUUCUCCCACAGAUAAGCAACAUGUUGGAGCCGAGUAAUUCGAAGCCCUUCCGCAGCCCCAUGGCUCUAGGAAAAGGGAUCGAAACCAAUUCUCAAGCAUCAGCGAAGCGUCAGAUGCCGCGGUGCCUCCAGGUUGUGUAUGCGCUCUGUCACCGAAGUUUUCCAUCCAUGCAAGGUCAGAUGUGAUGAUCUACUGAUUCCUUAUUGUAUCACAACAGUCUUAUUUCAAAACAACUGAUGCUCAUUGCUAUGUCCGUGGGUUGCAACAAUGCCUACCAGACGCCUCACCUGUUCCCACUUUUUUCCAUUGGUUUGCUUCUAGAGCUCCUGAUGGUUAUUAUCCUGGCCUUGACCAGUUGGUCCGCUUUGUCAGCUCCCAGCUUCGCAACUGGUGAUUGCAUCAGGACUAUGGUCAUGGGGAAGAACGUGAUCGAGAGAUUCAAAGCAGGAUUUAUAGUCCUUUCGUGUAGGGACAUGUGAUUGUGGUUCUCAAAGGCCUGAUGCUUUUCCUGUUUUAUUGAAUGUUGCAGGAGAAUGAAGAUGGUUGAUACUGUCCAAGAGAAAAUAGAUGACUCUGCAUGCAUUUACUUACCUCAAUCGUUGUGAUUCAUCCAUGAAGAUGAUUUUACAUACUCCUAUAUAUAAAAAGCAGCAGGCCAUGCAAUGAGAAGAGAAAAUUACAGACUACAAUUGCCGAUCUCACCUGAAUUAUAUAUUACAUGUUUUAAUUACCCUUUACAAUUGUAUAUAUUAUUUAUGUUUUCCCUGAUUGCAUUUCUUUAAGAGCACCAGGUCAUGCAAUGAGAAGAGAAAAUUACACACUGGAAUUGUCAAUCUCACCUGAAUUAUAAAUUAUAUACUUUAAUUACCCUUUACAGUUAUAUAUUAUUUAUGGUUUCCCUAACUGCAUUUCUUUAAUUUUUCUCUACCUAUUGGUUUAAUAAAAGCUAGGAAUGAAUCCAAUUUAGUAUGGUACCUACAAUACUACCUUCGAGUUUUAUAUUAUUUAUGUAUAAACUCAAACACCAUUAUAGGUAUUAUGCAUUUACUGGUUACAGUUAUGCAAUAUUAUCACAUCUCUGAUUUAUGUUGCUAAUUUACAUUCAUAUACGAAUUUGAUAGAAUCCCUAUUAUAUUUAACAAGUGUUUCCUACCAGCCUAUGACAAGACGAGUGGGAAGCAGAUUUUAUCGACCUAUAUACCAUUGAGAUCACGAGAGUGGCAUCUAACAGUAUGUUGAUAACUUUUGUGCGUCACUAAAUUAUCAUAUGGGGUGAUCGAUACAUAACGAGAAACUUUAAUA